Molecule: transfer RNA, 72 nt
Filed under: Lytechinus variegatus (green sea urchin)
Lineage: Eukaryota; Metazoa; Echinodermata; Echinoidea; Temnopleuroida; Toxopneustidae
Description: tRNA-Trp
Rfam family: tRNA
About the family: Transfer RNA (tRNA) molecules are approximately 80 nucleotides in length.
Source: RNAcentral
GUUUCUGUGGUCUAGUGGUUAAGGCACCGGCGUCCAAAGCUGGGGGCCCGGGUUCGAUUCCCGGCAGGGACA